RNAcentral lists this ribosomal RNA (62 nucleotides) under Peyritschia pringlei. Its description in RNAcentral is "partial 26S ribosomal RNA". The record is from RNAcentral. RNAcentral also lists the same sequence under 2 other names. Lineage: Eukaryota; Viridiplantae; Streptophyta; Magnoliopsida; Poales; Poaceae.
CCGACCGCGACCCCAGGUCAGGCGGGACUACCCGCUGAAUUUAAGCAUAUCAAUAAGCGGAG